Molecule: ribosomal RNA, 465 nt
Filed under: Vreelandella stevensii
Lineage: Bacteria; Pseudomonadati; Pseudomonadota; Gammaproteobacteria; Oceanospirillales; Halomonadaceae
Description: partial 16S ribosomal RNA
Rfam family: Bacterial small subunit ribosomal RNA
Source: RNAcentral
CCUACGGGUGGCAGCAGUGGGGAAUAUUGGACAAUGGGGGGAACCCUGAUCCAGCCAUGCCACGUGUGUGAAGAAGGCCCUCGGGUUGUAAAGCACUUUCAGUGAGGAAGAACGCCUGGUGGUUAAUACCCAUCAGGAAAGACAUCACUCACAGAAGAAGCACCGGCUAACUCCGUGCCAGCAGCCGCGGUAAUACGGAGGGUGCGAGCGUUAAUCGGAAUUACUGGGCGUAAAGCGCGCGUAGGUGGCUUGAUAAGCCGGUUGUGAAAGCCCCGGGCUCAACCUGGGAACGGCAUCCGGAACUGUCAAGCUAGAGUGCAGGAGAGGAAGGUAGAAUUCCCGGUGUAGCGGUGAAAUGCGUAGAGAUCGGGAGGAAUACCAGUGGCGAAGGCGGCCUUCUGGACUGACACUGACGCUGAGGUGCGAAAGCGUGGGUAGCAAACAGGAUUAGAUACCCUAGUAGUC